GUUGACAUUUGGAAUAAAACCCACAACAACUGUUACUCCAUUUGAAAUCGCCUCUGCCUUCACCCAACACCCUAUCUCCGCCGUCGUUCCUCCACCGCCCUCCGCUGCCGUUCCUUCACCGUUCUCCACCGCCGGUAACGAUCGCCUUCCCUGUGUUAUCCAAACAUCUUCACCACUUAAGCAAAACGCUUCUUCACUAAGCUUAAGGAGAAAGAGUUUUUUAUUCAAGUUAUGUAAUCAUAACUUGUAUACUAACAAUGUAAGCUGCUUCAUGGAUAUUCCUCUGGCAAAAGGAGACAUGUCAAAAUUGUGGAGUUUCUCAUUAAAAAUGGUGCUAGAAUUGGUUUCAAAUAUUGAGGAAUUCACUGCGUUGCACUUUGCGGCUCUAAAAGUUUUUUUUAUGCAGUUGUGGACAAUCCUCUUGUAUAUGCAGUCAAGUUUGAUCAUUUGAAUGUCUGUGUUGCUGCUUGAAGUAUUAUGAUUCUACCUGCGUUUAAGAAGUUCACUUGUGUGGAAGUCAUAUCUGUUGCUGAAAUUCAUACCUUAAUGAUCAAUUUGUGAAUGGGCUGGUCGCUGCUUCUGCUUGAGGUUCUCAAGGAUCUCGACUUUGCUAAUUGCAAAUUUGGAGUUGGAGUAUCUUGCCAAUGGGUGUAGAUCAAUUCAGAAGCUCAAACUUUGUCGCAAUGAAUUCAGGUUUGUAGUUUUGCGUAAAGUUGUGCAGCGUCACUGGAUUAAAGUUCUUGUACGUACAUACAUAUCAGAAUGUAUAUAUUGAUAAAAAUAUAUUGGUAAACUUGUGUAAAGCUGUGCAGCUUCACUGGAUUAAAGUUGUGCAGAAUGUAUAUAUUGGUAUAUUAGGCACAUUAAAACAUACUAUAAUUGGAUAUCGCUAAUUUUUUCCAUGUAGUGAUGAAGUUGUGGCAGCAUUUCUAGAAAGCUCUGGAGAGUUAUUGUUGGAACUUUUUCUGAUAAUAUGCCAAAAGUAUCUUUAACCCGAAUCAACCCUCUCUUUUAUUUUUCCUUUGAUGCUUGUGGCCAAAUCAUUAAAUUUGCUAGGUCGAACCCUAUCCUGCCUUGUCACUCGCCAGAUGUUCAAGAAAGUUGUUAACCUUAGAUUUAUCCUGGUGUAGCGAAAUUAGUAAUGAGGGUCUAUGGUUGAUUGUUGAUAGCUGCUCGUCGCUGAAGUUGCUCAAAAUCUUUGGUUGUAUACAGGUGUGAGACAUAAAUCAAGUAUCUGCCAAGAUCGUUUGUCAGAAGUACUUGCAACAGGCAUUCUAAUCAAAUUCAUACCAUAAAUGAUCAGUUUAUGAACGGGCUAGUCGAUGAUUCUGCUUGUGGUAAAUAGAUGCUUUUCAUAUGGCAAUAUAAGUAUUAGAUGUUCAUACACUGGUUGUGUAGGUAUGAAAAUGAGCGUUGAAGGUUGCCUUUUGUUGCUUAAAUGGCCUCUAGAAUCAAAACAAGUAGUAUAACAAAGUCAGGGGUUACCUUAUAUGUUGUCUGUUAUCUACUAUGUAUGAAUUUAGUGUUGCAUACUCUAAUUGUACAAAUGCUACAUGUAAAAAAGAGCACUGAAAUUUUGGCCACCUAUAGAUGCUGCAUGACACGAAUCGUGUAUUGAUUCACUGAAAAAGUUUCUUAUCUUGUUA
This is a long non-coding RNA of Salvia splendens (bonfire salvia), 1646 nucleotides long. RefSeq lists it as uncharacterized. NCBI's taxonomy places the organism in Eukaryota, Viridiplantae, Streptophyta, Magnoliopsida, Lamiales, Lamiaceae. The transcript is spliced from 6 exons. The record is from RefSeq and is a predicted model, not a curated record.